GGUUUCGUAGCUCAGCCGGCAGAGCGCGUGACUGCUAACCACAACGUCGCAGGUUCCGAUCCCUGCCGAUACCG
Gregarina niphandrodes is the source of this 74-nucleotide transfer RNA. It matches the Rfam family "tRNA". From Rfam's summary of the family: Transfer RNA (tRNA) molecules are approximately 80 nucleotides in length. Their secondary structure includes four short double-helical elements and three loops (D, anti-codon, and T loops). NCBI's taxonomy places the organism in Eukaryota, Apicomplexa, Conoidasida, Eugregarinorida, Gregarinidae. The record is from Rfam.